Molecule: ribosomal RNA, 468 nt
Filed under: uncultured bacterium
Lineage: Bacteria
Description: partial 16S ribosomal RNA
Rfam family: Bacterial small subunit ribosomal RNA
Source: RNAcentral
GACGAACGCUGGCGGCGUGCUUAGCACAUGCAAGUCGAACGGAAAGGCCCUGCUUUUGUGGGGUGCUCGAGUGGCGAACGGGUGAGUAACACGUGAGUAACCUGCCCUUGGCUUUGGGAUAACUUCAGGAAACUGGGGCUAAUACCGGAUAGGAGCUCCUGCUGCAUGGUGGGGGUUGGAAAGUUUCGGCGGUUGGGGAUGGACUCGCGGCUUAUCAGCUUGUUGGUGGGGUAGUGGCUUACCAAGGCUUUGACGGGUAGCCGGCCUGAGAGGGUGACCGGCCACAUUGGGACUGAGAUACGGCCCAGACUCCUACGGGAGGCAGCAGUGGGGAAUAUUGCACAAUGGGCGGAAGCCUGAUGCAGCAACGCCGCGUGCGGGAUGACGGCCUUCGGGUUGUAAACCGCUUUCGCCUGUGACGAAGCGUGAGUGACGGUAAUGGGUAAAGAAGCACCGGCUAACUACGUG